AGAGUUUGAUCCUGGCUCAGGACGAACGCUGGCGGCGUGCUUAACACAUGCAAGUCGAGCGAUGAAACACCUUCGGGUGUGAAUUAGCGGCGAACGGGUGAGGAACACGUGAAGAAUCUGCCUUCAACUCUGGGAUAACUCCGGGAAACCGGGGCUAAUACCGGAUAUGAGCCUUGAUCGCAUGAUCGGGGCUGGAAAGUCUUUCGGUUGAAGAUGACUUCGCGGCCUAUCAGCUUGUUGGUGAGGUAAUGGCUCACCAAGGCGACGACGGGUAGCCGGCCUGAGAGGGCGACCGGCCACACUGGGACUGAGACACGGCCCAGACUCCUACGGGAGGCAGCAGUGGGGAAUAUUGGGCAAUGGAGGAAACUCUGACCCAGCGACGCCGCGUGAGGGAUGAAGGCCUUCGGGUUGUAAACCUCUUUCAGUAGGGAAGAAGCGAAAGUGACGGUACCUACAGAAGAAGCACCGGCUAACUAUGUGCCAGCAGCCGCGGUAACACAUAGGGUGCAAGCGUUGUCCGGAAUUAUUGGGCGUAAAGAGCUCGUAGGUGGUUCGAUACGUCGGAUGUGAAAAUCAGGGGCUCAACCCCUGACCUGCAUCCGAUACGGUCGAGCUAGAGUUUGGUAGGGGAGACUGGAAUUCCUGGUGUAGCGGUGGAAUGCGCAGAUAUCACGAGGAACACCGAUGGCGAACGCAGGUCUCUGGGCCAAUACUGACACUGAGGAGCGAAAGCGUGGGGAGCGAACAGGAUUAGAUACCCUGGUAGUCCACGCCGUAAACGGUGGGCGCUAGUUGUGCGAACCUUCCACGGUUUGUGCGACGCAGCUAACGCAUUAAGCGCCCCGCCUGGGGGAGUACGAUCGCAAGAUUA
This 874-nucleotide ribosomal RNA is filed under the name uncultured Actinomycetes bacterium. RNAcentral describes it as "bacterial SSU rRNA". It matches the Rfam family "Bacterial small subunit ribosomal RNA", at positions 8 to 896 of the family's 1533-position model. The record is from RNAcentral. Lineage: Bacteria; Bacillati; Actinomycetota; Actinomycetes.